RNAcentral lists this ribosomal RNA (432 nucleotides) under Actinomycetaceae bacterium. RNAcentral's name for it is "bacterial SSU rRNA". It matches the Rfam family "Bacterial small subunit ribosomal RNA", at positions 1 to 429 of the family's 1533-position model. Lineage: Bacteria; Bacillati; Actinomycetota; Actinomycetes; Actinomycetales; Actinomycetaceae. The record is from RNAcentral.
UAAUUGAAGAGUUUGAUCAUGGCUCAGAUUGAACGCUGGCGGCAGGCCUAACACAUGCAAGUCGGGCGGUAACAGGGAGAAGCUUGCUUCUCUGCUGACGAGCGGCGGACGGGUGAGUAAUGUAUGGGGAUCUGCCUGAUGGCGGGGGAUAACUACUGGAAACGGUAGCUAAUACCGCAUAAUGUCUACGGACCAAAGCGGGGGACCUUAGGGCCUCGCGCCAUCAGAUGAACCCAUAUGGGAUUAGCUAGUAGGUAAGGUAACGGCUUACCUAGGCGACGAUCCCUAGCUGGUCUGAGAGGAUGAUCAGCCACACUGGGACUGAGACACGGCCCAGACUCCUACGGGAGGCAGCAGUGGGGAAUAUUGCACAAUGGGCGCAAGCCUGAUGCAGCCAUGCCGCGUGUAUGAAGAAGGCCUUCGGGUUGUAAA